GCGAAAAGUUCUGCAACUGUGAAAUGUUUCUGAAUAUGUAACAACCAAAACUUAAUUCAAAGUCCAACAUGUAACAAACUUGAGAAGUUGCUGCUGCACUCUUCCUAUAUCGGAAUGCAGGACUUUGCCACAGCCUUGUCCUGGACCAAAAAGAUGCCUUAUGUACCCUGCAUGCCACCUCGCCACUCAACACUGCCCAAAACACCACCAUCUGGCAGAAGGAACAGGCCUGCUGCUCAGAGGCCUGUGGAGGUAAGAAGUGGGAGAGCCCAGCUGGUAAGAAAUGAUUCGAGGGUCUGGUGCUGGGGAAUCCUGAAGCCACAGAUGUCAGAGGUGGAGGCCAAGUGCCUGCCCACUACAUGGUGACACAGAUCGAAAGGACCCUGAUUCCCAGGAUGCUUCUACAAGCUCCACCCAGUCCUCAAUGCCCUUGUUCUGUAUUAAACAUGAACUGAG
Molecule: long non-coding RNA, 456 nt
Filed under: Rattus norvegicus (Norway rat)
Lineage: Eukaryota; Metazoa; Chordata; Mammalia; Rodentia; Muridae
Description: long non-coding RNA NONRATT018909
Source: RNAcentral